RNAcentral lists this long non-coding RNA (1541 nucleotides) under Salmo salar (Atlantic salmon). RNAcentral's name for it is "lncRNA (ENSSSAG00000094759.1)". Lineage: Eukaryota; Metazoa; Chordata; Actinopteri; Salmoniformes; Salmonidae. The record is from RNAcentral.
CUCUGUUUCAAGGCCGACGACUCAAAGAGUAAUAUUUUUAUAAGAUCCAGUCCUCUGUCUGCUCUACCUCAACACUCCCACCUCCAUGACAGUAAGGCAGACAGGGAGGUACUGUAGAGAGAGAGAGACACGGAAGGAGGCAGGCAGAGACGCAGCGAUGCAGUCGUUGAGGACCUGAGCCCUAGGACCAUGCCUCAGGACUACCUGGUAUGAUGACUCCUUGCUGUCCCCAGUCCACCUGGCCGUGCUGCUGCUCCAGUUUCAACUGUUCUGCCUGCGGCUAUGGAACCCUGACCUGUUCACCGGACGUGCUUGUUGCACCCUCGACAACUACUAUGAUUAUUAUUAUUUGACCAUGCUGGUCAUUUAUGAACAUUUUAACAUUUUAACAUCUUGACUAUGUUCUGUUAUAAUAUCCACCCUGCACAGCCAGAAGAGGACUUGCCACCCCUCAUAGCCUGGUUCCUCUCUAGGUUUCAUCCUAGAUUUUUGGCCUUUCUAGGGAGUUUUUCCUAGGGAGUUUUUUCUAGCCACCGUGCUUCUUUCACAUGCUUUGCUUGCUGUUUGGGGUUUUAGGCUGGGUUUCUGUACAGCACUUUGAGAAUAUCAGCUGAUGUACGAAGGGCUAUAUAAAAAUACAUUUGAAAUUUGAAAGAUCUCGCUGCCUGAAGAGAAACACUGAUGCUAGCCUGGCAAAUAGAUUUUGAAAAAGGUCCCGCUGCUCUCUCUCUCUCUCUCCUCUCCCUCCCUCACGUUUUUCAUUCCUCUUUCUUUUUCUCACGAUUCAUUCUCUUCCUCUUGAGAUGCGUUGUUACCUGACAGCCUUGUAGCGGUGACUAGAUAAUGGCUACGGAUGUGAGACAGAUUCUGUUUACAUGGCCGGUACCAGAGGAUUAGAAUGAUUACCUUGGUGCCAGUGUCAUAAUAAGCCUGGAGAGCCUGUCACACAGUCAAUAGAGGUGGUGAAAGACAUCCUGUACCAGAUUAGAGAGUGUAGAUUAUGGGGUUAUGUUUUCCCUACCCCUCCGAUGAAAGGCUAAUUAGAAGGGGAAAAAAGAGCUGAGAGAGAGAGGGAGGGAGAGAGAGAGAGAGACUGAGAGAGAUUACCUCAUUAUCCACAUAGAGACAUUGGCUGGUCUGUUUGGUAACACUUUACUUAACUGCAGUUAUAAUGCGCUGUAAAACUUGCCAUGAGCAUGUAUGAACUACAAACUAUACUGUUUAAUAAUCAUCUAAUAAAUACAAGCCUUUUGGAAUCAGUUGAAACAGUGAUACCUGAGAAACAUAACGCAAUAUAAGCCUUAUUAUAAGACAUAAAAAAAAUGCAUUUACAUUUUACCUGCAGGCGCUACAGGGGAAUUUCAACCUGGUGGAAUCUGGGCUUGUUUUCAUCAUGUCAGAGCCAUUUUUUGGUCAGUGAGAUGUGUUUCACACAGAAUAGCCCCGGAGGAAGGCAGGUCUGGGAUUCGUGCACUGAAUGAUACACCCUAUGACAGCUUCCGGUGUAUUGAUGGGUGGUGGCGACAUCUGAAAAUAAAUGU